This 21-nucleotide non-coding RNA is filed under the name Caenorhabditis elegans. The record is from RNAcentral. Lineage: Eukaryota; Metazoa; Nematoda; Chromadorea; Rhabditida; Rhabditidae.
UAGGAAUAAAAACUGAUAUUC